This 482-nucleotide ribosomal RNA is filed under the name uncultured Mycobacterium sp. Its description in RNAcentral is "bacterial SSU rRNA". It matches the Rfam family "Bacterial small subunit ribosomal RNA", at positions 8 to 507 of the family's 1533-position model. Lineage: Bacteria; Bacillati; Actinomycetota; Actinomycetes; Mycobacteriales; Mycobacteriaceae. The record is from RNAcentral.
AGAGUUGACUCCGUGCUCAGGACGAACGCUGGCGGCGUGCUUAACACAUGCAAGUCGAACGGAAAGGCCCUUCGGGGUGCUCGAGUGGCGAACGGGUGAGUAACACGUGGGUGAUCUGCCCUGCACUUUGGGAUAAGCCUGGGAAACCGGGUCUAAUACCGGAUAGGACUACGAAUCGCAUGGUUUGUGGUGGAAAGCUUUUGCGGUGUGGGAUGGGCCCGCGGCCUAUCAGCUUGUUGGUGGGGUGAUGGCCUACCAAGGCGACGACGGGUAGCCGGCCUGAGAGGGUGUCCGGCCACACUGGGACUGAGAUGCGGCCCAGACUCCUACGGGAGGCAGCAGUGGGGAAUAUUGCACAAUGGGCGCAAGCCUGAUGCAGCGACGCCGCGUGAGGGAUGACGGCCUUCGGGUUGUAAACCUCUUUCGGUAGGGACGAAGCGUAAGUGACGGUACCUAUAGAAGAAGCACCGGCCAACUACGUG